UGAGCAAAAGAGUCUUUUGCAGUAGAUGC
This 29-nucleotide non-coding RNA is filed under the name Rattus norvegicus (Norway rat). The record is from RNAcentral. Lineage: Eukaryota; Metazoa; Chordata; Mammalia; Rodentia; Muridae.